GAUGAACGCUGGCGGCGUGCCUAAUACAUGCAAGUCGAGCGAACAGACGAGGAGCUUGCUCCUCUGACGUUAGCGGCGGAAGGGUGAGUAACACGUGGAUAACCUACCUAUAAGACUGGGAUAACUUCGGGAAACCGGAGCUAAUACCGGAUAAUAUAUUGAACCGCAUGGUUCAAUAGUGAAAGACGGUUUUGCUGUCACUUAUAGAUGGAUCCGCGCCGCAUUAGCUAGUUGGUAAGGUAACGGCUUACCAAGGCAACGAUGCGUAGCCGACCUGAGAGGGUGAUCGGCCACACGGGAACGGAGACACGGUCCAGACUCCUGCGGGAGGCAGCAGUAGGGAAUCUUCCGCAAUGGGCGAAAGCCUGACGGAGCAACGCCGCGUGAGGGAUGAAGUUCUUCGGAUCGUAAAACUCUGUUAUUAGGGAAGAACAAAUGUGUAAGUAACUAUGCACGUCUUGACGGUACCUAGUCAGAAGGCCACGGCUAACUACGUG
This 497-nucleotide ribosomal RNA is filed under the name uncultured bacterium. RNAcentral's name for it is "partial 16S ribosomal RNA". It matches the Rfam family "Bacterial small subunit ribosomal RNA", at positions 28 to 507 of the family's 1533-position model. The record is from RNAcentral.